CCUACGGGAGGCAGCAGUAGGGAAUAUUGCUCAAUGGGGGAAACCCUGAAGCAGCAACGCCGCGUGGAGGAUGAAGGUUUUCGGAUUGUAAACUCCUUUUGUUAGAGAAGAUAAUGACGGUAUCUAACGAAUAAGCACCGGCUACCACCGUGCCAGCAGCCGCGGUAAUACGGAGGGUGCAAGCGUUACUCGGAAUCACUGGGCGUAGCGGGCUCGGAGGCGGGAUCGCAAGUCCGCUGUGAAAUCCUAUGGCUUACCCAUAGAACUGCAUUUGCAACUGGUAUUCUAGAGUAUGGGAGAGGUAGGUGGAAUUCUUGGGGUAGGGGUAAAAUCCGUAGAGAUCAAGAGGAAUACUCAUUGCGGGGGCGACCUGCUAGGCCAUAACUGACGCUGGUGCGCGAACGCGUGGGGAGCAAACAGGAUUAGAGACCCCAGUAGUC
This 440-nucleotide ribosomal RNA is filed under the name uncultured bacterium. Its description in RNAcentral is "partial 16S ribosomal RNA". It matches the Rfam family "Bacterial small subunit ribosomal RNA", at positions 338 to 795 of the family's 1533-position model. The record is from RNAcentral.